Molecule: long non-coding RNA, 1255 nt
Organism: Gasterosteus aculeatus aculeatus (three-spined stickleback)
Lineage: Eukaryota; Metazoa; Chordata; Actinopteri; Perciformes; Gasterosteidae
Source: Ensembl
AUAGCCUCGGUGAUCUAGGUUUAGAAAGCUGUGAAAUUGGAUAUUGAGAUGCUCUCCGGAGUAGUUUCAGACUAGACUGUGGGAAUCGUCUAAUCCGAUCACCGGGAAGGGCUGGCGGGGGGCCCUCCCAUGUCGGGGGUGCAGUCAGGAGUCAGGAGUCAGUCGGCGCGGCGAUGAUCAGAUUGUCACAGUCCCGCUGGUUCCCUCGGAGACGCCACCUGAGAAGGCGCCUGUGCCAACAUCUUCAUCAACACCCGCGGCAACAGCAGCUGGACCGGGUCGCGUGGCCAAGUGGGUCAGACCUCACUGAGGGUGGAGAGGGCGUCAUCCACAGUGGUGCAUCAUGGGACAGCCCGAGGGCAUAUUAGAGUUUUUUUUGGCAAAUCCCUUGGUGAACUUCUGAAGUUUUUUUUUUCUUGGUAGGCUUUAUCUAGUUGUGACUGUAAGUUCACGGGCAGAGAGCUCAGGUCAGCUGGUACUGCUCAUCGCAGGCCGCGUUUAAAAGCCGUUGCCGGUGGUCCACGUGCACAAAACCAUUUGGCUUUUCUUAAAAGAAAAAAACGGUGCUUUUUAAAAUCUUGCACAAAAUGUUUUAGUGCUUCAAAUACUACUGAUGUUGUCAAAUAAAUGUAGUGGUGUAAAAGGACAAUAUUUGACUCUAAAACAAAGUGGAGAAUAAAACCGAAAGUUGCACGAAACCAUAUCAAACUCUCUAUCAAACCCCUGAUAAUUGAAAUUCAGCACACUACUUGAGUAAUGACUUAUUUCCCUCCAUUGUGUGCAGGUGGCAGCUAUUAAAUAAUCUCCCAAGUUGCCCAGCUGAUCUGAUCUGACGGAUGAGUUUUGCUGGUUACUGUUACCUGGUUCAGUCAUUAGGACCACUACAUUCGGGGGGGAAAACUGGAGUGGAAGUGGCAUUAAACUGCUAACUGGAGGCAGUGGAGUGUUGUAGGUGGAGGAACACGUGGAGGGUCACAGCGUUCACCGCGGAGAGGAUGGUGGUAAACAAAGGAGCUAAAAGGAGGACACUUCAAACCACGAGGGUGUGAUUGAAGCCUUUUCAUUAGGUUUGAUGAGAGGAAAAAGAUCAUUCCCUUUACCUCAGGUUUCAGAGGGGAUCUUAUAAGCCUAUUUUUAUGCUAAAACACGUGGUCAUCUUGCGCCAAAGUACCAUUUCUUCCGCUGAUGUAUUCAGCACUAAACAUGUAAGGAACCAAAUGAAUCCCUCAUAAGCCACCGGCGAAGCCAAUGCAGC